GACGAACGCUGGCGGCGUGCCUAAUACAUGCAAGUAGAACGCUGAAGGAGGAGCUUGCUUCUCCGGAUGAGUUGCGAACGGGUGAGUAACGCGUAGGUAACCUGCCUGGUAGCGGGGGAUAACUAUUGGAAACGAUAGCUAAUACCGCAUAACAGUAGAUAUUGCAUGAUAUCUGCUUGAAAGGUGCAAUUGCAUCACUACCAGAUGGACCUGCGUUGUAUUAGCUAGUUGGUGGGGUAACGGCUCACCAAGGCGACGAUACAUAGCCGGCCUGAGAGGGGGAACGGCCAAACUUGGACUGGGACACGGCCCAGACUUCCACGGGGGGGAGCAGUAGGGAAUCCUCGGCAAUGGACGGAAGUCUGACCGGGCAACGCCGCGUGAGGGGAGAAGGGUUUCGGAUCGUAAAGACCUGUUGUAAGGGAAGAACGAGUGUUGGAGGGGAAAGUUCACACCGUGACGGUAUCUUACCAGAAAGGGACGGCUAACUACGUG
This 495-nucleotide ribosomal RNA is filed under the name uncultured bacterium. RNAcentral describes it as "partial 16S ribosomal RNA". It matches the Rfam family "Bacterial small subunit ribosomal RNA", at positions 28 to 507 of the family's 1533-position model. The record is from RNAcentral.